CACCACUGAACAACUCUGUGUUCACAUAGUGUGUGCCAAUGAAAGUCUGUAUUUAAAAACGAGCUAGGGGCUAGUUAUUCAAGGAGCAGUGCAUUAUUGUAUUUUCAACUUCCACUUCACUGUUGAGAUAGAAGCGCAGUCCUAUUUGCCUUCAUCUUCUCCAGCCUUUUCAUUAAGUGGCUAUUGGUCAUCUCCAUCUCUUCUAUCUUAUCCAGUGCUGUUCUUAACUCUCGCUGAAGCUUCCUCUUUUCAGCUUUGAGUUCAUCUUCUACUUUCUCUGCAUUUUCUGCUGCAUUUUUAUACCUUGCAACCUGUCCUUCCAGCCUUCCAAUAUUUUGUUCCAAGGUGGUUAUAUCUUGUUCAGCUUUUGAAAGUCUAAACUUGUAUUCACUAAUUUGUCUGUUGGCAUCUCUCUGCAUUUCAAUUAGUUGCAAGUCAGAACCAUUCUCUAAGCCUACUAUAUCUGGACUCAUGCCAUCACUUUUAGAGUAUUUCUGUCUUUCUUCUUCCAAUUGCAUCUUCAGUUUUCUAACCUGGGACAGUAAUUCUUCCUUUUCUCCAGCUAAUUUUCGUAGCCGGACAUCUAGCGGUCCUUCUCCUGCGGAUUCUAAGACUUGAGCAGCUUCCUGCGAUACAACUGUUAUUGCACCAACUGCUGAUUCAUGGUUUAUAUCACCAUUUGGUGUGCCAUCUGGGAUUAUAACUAAUCCAUGUUUCUCUAUCAAUUCAUCUCUUUGUCGAAGGCCCUCUUUAAGUUCAUCCAGCUUAUGCUGUAGAACACUGCACGUGUGUUUCUGUCUUUCCAAUUCCUUCGACUUCUCUUCAUUUUCCCUGUGGUACUCUGCUAUUUGCUCUUCUUUCUCCUCAAUGACAUCCUUUAGAGUAUCUACUUGGUACACCAAGUUGUUUUUCUCAUUGUCUAGUUGAGCAUUGGAAACCAUAGCUUUCUUGUACUUCUCUUCAACUUCAGCUAGUGAAUCCUUUAGUUCUUUAAGUCCCUGCAUGUAUCUCCCCUCUACAUCGUGUAUCUGGUCCUUAAGAUCAUAGAUAUCCCGUAAUUCACUGAGCGAGGCAUCAGGAUCCAAUAAACUGCUUGUAUCUCCACUUCCUCUCCUAGAUGAGUUGCCACUCAGAGGAAUUGAAUUGCGAGACGAUGGCCUUGAAAAAAUUUCUGAAUGUGAUUUUUCACUCUUUUCUUCCAGACUAUUCAAAUCUUGGACAUCAUCUGCAUCAGAAACAAUGCUUCCCCUGCGGUUGGAGCGACUGAAAUAGUCAGCAGCAGUUUCACUUUUAUCAGAAAAAUCAGAGGACUUCAAAAAAACAUAAGGAGGUUGAAAGAAAACUGAAGAUUAUACCACAGAAUGAACAAGAUUUUUUUUUUUUAAUAUAGCAACAACUUACAUUUUCAUUGUUCCAAUUUACUCCUGCAUUUUAAGUACGAGAACUGUAAAAUACUCUUUUCUGAAUUUUUGAUACAUUAAGCGUGUCUAUAGGAAUAAUACAUGUGCCACACCAC
RNAcentral lists this long non-coding RNA (1516 nucleotides) under Gallus gallus (chicken). Lineage: Eukaryota; Metazoa; Chordata; Aves; Galliformes; Phasianidae. The record is from RNAcentral.